GACACACGGGACCGAAUGGGGGCCUCGAAGAAUGUCGCCUGCAGGGGGAGCACAGUUCCGUUGUGCACUUAGAGGCCAAUGGGAUGGCUCCUGCUUUCCGGGUGGAAUUUAAAUACAUAUGUAUAAUUUUGCAUGCC
Long non-coding RNA from Galeopterus variegatus (Sunda flying lemur), 137 nucleotides. RefSeq lists it as uncharacterized. The record is from RefSeq and is a predicted model, not a curated record. The transcript is spliced from 2 exons. Lineage: Eukaryota; Metazoa; Chordata; Mammalia; Dermoptera; Cynocephalidae.